UCUCUACACUACUGGAGCAAACCUGAAGCGGAUAACUGAUGUGGGGGCAAGUGCCCCCUCUUGCCCCUACGUGCGGGCGCCCAAGGGUACAGCAGAUCUCUCUCUGUGUGAGGGGUGUGGCAGGGUGUGGCGCAUGUCGUGCUGGAGUGUGUCAAGUGUGGCAGAGAGAACGAGGAUGACGCAGGGGUUUGUGACGAGAUGGGACGUGGAGUGGACGUGUUUGCUGGGAGGAGUGGAAGAUCGAGUUGCUGAGUGGAGGCACGAAUGGACGAGUGAUGGAAGCAGUGAAAGAGUUCUGGGAAAGAAUUUAGCGUACAGAAUGUAGGGAACAGUAUUUUGUCCCAUGUACGCAGGAUUGUGUCUGUUCUGUAGUAGGUUUUGUUUCUUUUCACAGGAGCUGCCGUUACAAAGGCCUGACGGGGCGAGUCACCUGUGACAUCAAGAUCAAGCGGAGAAAGCUCCAAAAGGGGCAGCUGUGACCUGAAGGGCCUUGGCAGUGUUUCUCGCGGAGGAGGAGCCCCGCGGCGCCCAGGCACACGACUUUGUGUCCCGGCGGCCACCACUGGUGCUGGUGUUGAGUGAGGCCGUGGGACAGGUGCUGUGCUCAGCGCCUCCUCCGUACUCGCUGCCGCUGACUUCAGGACUCCUUGGUGCAUCCUGCGCCUUGCCUGCUGGAUUGGUCCCUGAGUGUGGCUCUGUAGGAGCCUUGCCACCGCCUGCCCCAGCAUCUCUGAGGUUCCUGCAAGACCAGCCGACUCCUCCCACCUGGAGUAGUGUUGCAGUGGAGGCUGCAAGGCGGGGCAGCAGCUGGAGUGGCUGGGAGCAGCAGGAGCAGACUGCUACUGGUGUGAGGUUCAGGAGUGAUGAGAAACACCACCACCACCAACAACAACAGCCGCUACUGCUGGCAUCUCAUCCACAAAGGGGGAAGUUUGAAUUUCAGAAGUGUGAGAAGAUCUGAGAGUGAGAGCAAGUUUACUAGCCACAGCCAAGUGUGUGGGAAAAGACAUGCAGGGAAGGAUGACCUCAACAAAUACACCCACACACUCUGGUGUAAGACCUCAUGAAAGCCGUGAGUGUGGCAAAAGGUUUAGUAAUAAGAGUAACCCCAAACAUCACACCCUUACACACACUGGUGAAGGAAAUCACGAGUGUGAAGUUUGUGGGAAAUGUUUCAGGCAGAAGAGUGCCCUCAACACACACACCCUUACACACACUGGUGAAGGAAAUCAUGAGUGUGAAGUUUGUGGGAAAUGUUUCAGUCAGAAGAGUGCCCUCAACACACACACCCUUACACACACUGGUGAAAGAAAUCAUGAGUGUGAAGUUUGUGGGAAAUGUUUCAGGCAGAAGAGUAACCUCAACACACACACCCUUACACACACUGGUGAAAGAAAUCAUGAGUGUGAAGUUUGUGGGAAAUGUUUCAGGCAGAAGAGUAACCUCAACACACACACCCUUACACACACUGGUGAAAGAAAUCAUGAGUGUGAAGUUUGUGGGAAAUGUUUCAGUCAGAAGAGUACCCUCAACACACACACC
Eriocheir sinensis (Chinese mitten crab) is the source of this 1542-nucleotide long non-coding RNA. RefSeq lists it as uncharacterized. The transcript is spliced from 2 exons. The record is from RefSeq and is a predicted model, not a curated record. Lineage: Eukaryota; Metazoa; Arthropoda; Malacostraca; Decapoda; Varunidae.